GCCCAAAAAAAAACCAAACAAAUAACUGUACUCACACCUACAACAUUAGAAGCUUGCUUCUAUGACGUUAGCGGCGGACGGGUGAGUAACACGUGGGCAACCUGCCUGUAAGACUGGGAUAACUUCGGGAAACCGAAGCUAAUACCGGAUAGGAUCUUCUCCUUCAUGGGAGAUGAUUGAAAGAUGGUUUCGGCUAUCACUUACAGAUGGGCCCGCGGUGCAUUAGCUAGUUGGUGAGGUAACGGCUCACCAAGGCAACGAUGCAUAGCCGACCUGAGAGGGUGAUCGGCCACACUGGGACUGAGACACGGCCCAGACUCCUACGGGAGGCAGCAGUAGGGAAUCUUCCGCAAUGGACGAAAGUCUGACGGAGCAACGCCGCGUGAGUGAUGAAGGCUUUCGGGUCGUAAAACUCUGUUGUUAGGGAAGAACAAGUACGAGAGUAACUGCUCGUACCUUGACGGUACCUAACCAGAAAGCCACGGCUAACUACGUGCCACCAGCCGCGGUAAUACGUAGGUGGCAAGCGUUAUCCGGAAUUAUUGGGCGUAAAGCGCGCGCAGGCGGUUUCUUAAGUCUGAUGUGAAAGCCCACGGCUCAACCGUGGAGGGUCAUUGGAAAAUGUGGAACUUGAGUGCAGAAGAGAAAAGCGGAAUUCCACGUGUAGCGGUGAAAUGCGUAGAGAUGUGGUGGAAGACCAGAGGCGAAGGCGGCUUCUUUGUUCUGCUGCUGAUGCUGAUGAGC
Molecule: ribosomal RNA, 744 nt
Filed under: bacterium
Lineage: Bacteria
Description: bacterial SSU rRNA
Rfam family: Bacterial small subunit ribosomal RNA
Source: RNAcentral